GCUAAUAGAGGUGCGUUCAGCAUUAGUACAUAAGCCAAACACAAAGGUAGCAAUUACUGUGGCUUGUGGAAAGGGUGUGGAUGCCGAAGCAUAAUACAUAUUGUGAUGUGUUGUGUUGGGUAUAAGGCUAAAUCCUUAUAACUGUCAUCAAAUAUGAUGAAGUACUAUUC
This 170-nucleotide non-coding RNA is filed under the name fish gut metagenome. Its description in RNAcentral is "Lysine riboswitch". It matches the Rfam family "Lysine riboswitch aptamer". Rfam says of the family: Riboswitches are metabolite binding domains within certain messenger RNAs that serve as precision sensors for their corresponding targets. Allosteric rearrangement of mRNA structure is mediated by ligand binding, and this results in modulation of gene expression. The record is from RNAcentral.